Molecule: ribosomal RNA, 429 nt
Filed under: Acidobacteriota bacterium
Lineage: Bacteria; Pseudomonadati; Acidobacteriota
Description: Acidobacteria bacterium partial 16S ribosomal RNA
Rfam family: Bacterial small subunit ribosomal RNA
Source: RNAcentral
UGGGGAAUUUUGGACAAUGGGGGAAACCCUGAUCCAGCCAUCCCGCGUGUGCGAUGAAGGCCUUCGGGUUGUAAAGCACUUUUGGCAGGAAAGAAACGUCAUGGGUUAAUACCCCGUGAAACUGACGGUACCUGCAGAAUAAGCACCGGCUAACUACGUGCCAGCAGCCGCGGUAAUACGUAGGGUGCAAGCGUUAAUCGGAAUUACUGGGCGUAAAGCGUGCGCAGGCGGUUCGGAAAGAAAGAUGUGAAAUCCCAGAGCUCAACUUUGGAACUGCAUUUUUAACUACCGGGAUAGAGUGUGACAGAGGGAGGUGGAAUUCCGAGUGUAGCAGUGAAAUGCGUAGAUAUGCGGGGGAACACCGAUGGCGAAGGGAGCCUCCUGGGAUAACACUGACGCUCAUGCACGAAAGCGUGGGGAGCAAACAGG